Molecule: ribosomal RNA, 254 nt
Filed under: uncultured bacterium
Lineage: Bacteria
Description: partial 16S ribosomal RNA
Rfam family: Bacterial small subunit ribosomal RNA
Source: RNAcentral
CUUUCUUUGCUGGCGACCGGCGCACGGGUGAGUAACACGUAUCCAACCUGCCCUUUACUCGGGGAUAGCCUUUCGAAAGAAAGAUUAAUACCCGAUAGCAUAAUGAUUCCGCAUGGUUUCAUUAUUAAAGGAUUCCGGUAAAGGAUGGGGAUGCGUUCCAUUGGGUUGUUGGUGAGGUAACGGCCCACCAAGCCUUCGAUGGAUAGGGGUUCUGAGAGGAAGGUCCCCCACAUUGGAACUGAGACACGGUCCAA